RNAcentral lists this ribosomal RNA (609 nucleotides) under uncultured archaeon. RNAcentral's name for it is "bacterial SSU rRNA". It matches the Rfam family "Archaeal small subunit ribosomal RNA", at positions 137 to 747 of the family's 1478-position model. The record is from RNAcentral.
AAACUGAGAAUAAUACCCGAUAGAACAUUAUGCCUGGAAUGGUUUAUGUUUCAAAUAAUUUAUUGCCGUAGGAUGGGACUGCGGCCUAUCAGUUUGUUGGUGAGGUAAUGGCCCACCAAGACUAUUACAGGUACGGGCUCUGAGAGGAGUAGCCCGGAGAUGGGUACUGAGACACGGACCCAGGCCCUAUGGGGCGCAGCAGGCGAGAAAACUUUGCAAUGUGCGAAAGCACGACAAGGUUAAUCCGAGUGGUUUCUGCUAAAGGAACCUUUUGCCAGUCCUAGAAACACUGGUGAAUAAGGGGUGGGCAAGUUCUGGUGUCAGCCGCCGCGGUAAAACCAGCACCUCAAGUGGUCAGGAUGAUUAUUGGGCCUAAAGCAUCCGUAGCCUGCUUUGUCAGUUUUCGGUUAAAUCCAUUCGCUCAACGAAUGGGCUGCCGGGAAUACUGCAAAGCUAGGGAGUGGGAGAGGUAGACGGUACUCGGUAGGAAGGGGUAAAAUCCUUUGAUCUAUUGAUGACCACCUGUGGCGAAGGCGGUCUACCAGAACACGUCCGACGGUGAGGGAUGAAAGCUGGGGGAGCAAACCGGAUUAGAUACCCGGGUAGUCC